This 253-nucleotide ribosomal RNA is filed under the name uncultured bacterium. RNAcentral's name for it is "partial 16S ribosomal RNA". It matches the Rfam family "Bacterial small subunit ribosomal RNA", at positions 524 to 776 of the family's 1533-position model. The record is from RNAcentral.
UACGUAGGGGGCAAGCGUUGUCCGGAUUUAUUGGGCGUAAAGAGCGUGUAGGCGGCUUUGCAAGUCCGUUGUGAAAACUCGAGGCUCAACCUCGAGACGCCGGUGGAAACUGCAAAGCUAGAGUCCGGAAGAGGAGAGUGGAAUUCCUGGUGUAGCGGUGAAAUGCGCAGAUACCAGGAAGAACACCCGUGGCGAAGGCGGCUCUCUGGGACGGUACUGACGCUGAGACGCGAAAGCGUGGGGAGCGAACAGG